UUAGGUUUAGAUGAGAAAGUUAAUAAAUAUGAGUAUUUGGUCAUAAAAAGGGAAAAACGUAAAAGAAGGGUUUUGGAGAGUUCUUGAAGAAAAAUCAAGAGUGAGAGAACAAGCUUAGGAAUUGAAGAGGAAGACCAAAGUUUCCAACAAAUUGUUAAGGUUCCCAGGUCAAGGAUACUGCUGUCGAGGAGUAGUUGUUUACUUGCUUGCUUAUUUUGGCGAGGAGAUUGGCGAGAUGCCUCUCCGUUUAUUUUGUUUUAUUUAUUUUGGGAUGUAAUAAUAGUACCUAGUGUCGCUCUGGUAGUGUAACAUCGGGACAAGUUGAUAUUUACUUUAUAUCUUAUAUAUGUCGGAUGUAUGUGGCUUUGAUAGCCUUACUUUCAUAUGUGAAAUUUAUGUUAUGAAAUGCAUGAGUAAUUCAUA
Molecule: long non-coding RNA, 423 nt
Organism: Trifolium pratense (red clover)
Lineage: Eukaryota; Viridiplantae; Streptophyta; Magnoliopsida; Fabales; Fabaceae
Exons: 2
Source: RefSeq, a predicted model, not a curated record